GCAAGUCGAACGGUAGAGGGGGCAACCCCUUGAGAGUGGCGAACGGGUGAGUAAUAUAUCGGAACGUGCCCAGUCGUGGGGGAUAACGUAGUGAAAAUUACGCUAAUACCGCAUACGAUCUAAGGAUGAAAGCGGGGGAUCGCAAGACCUCGCGCGACUGGAGCGGCCGAUAUCAGAUUAGGUAGUUGGUAGGGUAAAGGCCUACCAAGCCAACGAUCUGUAGCUGGCCUGAGAGGACGACCAGCCACACUGGAACUGGGACACGGUCCAGACUCCUACGGGAGGCAGCAGUGGGGAAUUUUGGACAAUGGGCGAAAGCCUGAUCCAGCCAUUCCGCGUGCAGGAUGAAGGCCCUCGGGUUGUAAACUGCUUUUGUACAGAACGAAAAGGUUUCUAUUAAUACUAGGAGCUCAUGACGGUACUGUAAGAAUAAGCACCGGCUAACUACGUGCCAGCAGCCGCGGUAAUACGUAGGGUGCAAGCGUUAAUCGGAAUUACUGGGCGUAAAGCGUGCGCAGGCGGUUAUAUAAGUCAGAUGUGAAAUCCCCGGGCUCAACCUGGGAACUGCAUUUGAGACUGUAUAGCUAGAGUACGGUAGAGGGGGAUGGAAUUCCGCGUGUAGCAGUGAAAUGCGUAGAUAUGCGGAGGAACACCGAUGGCGAAGGCAAUCCCCUGGACCUGUACUGACGCUCAUGCACGAAAGCGUGGGGAGCAAACAGGAUUAGAUACCCUGGUAGUCCACGCCCUAAACGAUGUCAACUGGUUGUUGGGUCUUAACUGACUCAGUAACGAAGCUAACGCGUGAAGUUGACCGCCUGGGGAGUACGGCCGCAAGGUUGAAAACUCAAGGAAUUGACGGGGACCCGCACAAGCGGUGGAUG
RNAcentral lists this ribosomal RNA (881 nucleotides) under uncultured Burkholderiales bacterium. RNAcentral describes it as "bacterial SSU rRNA". It matches the Rfam family "Bacterial small subunit ribosomal RNA", at positions 57 to 938 of the family's 1533-position model. The record is from RNAcentral. Lineage: Bacteria; Pseudomonadati; Pseudomonadota; Betaproteobacteria; Burkholderiales.